GGUGCAGCCCCGCCCCCGCCCGGCAGGAAGUGCGCUGUCGGCCUCUGCGUCUGUCCUCCCAGUGUCCAACGUUGCCUCGCGGAGGCCGCCGUGCGGAGCAAAUGUCUAACGGAAAUCAGAGGUGGAAAAGAGGUUGGAGGAGCCUGCUCCGUUCCACUCGCUUUUACUGAUGCGCCCACCAGCAGCCACGCUUGGGGCUGGCGGCUUUGAGGACACGCACGUGAACUCAUCCUUAUGGAUUCAGAAGACAAAGAAUACAAGCAAGCAGGAGAAAGUCUAAGAAGAAAGUUCACCUGGUAUGUUCCACCAAAAAGAAAGAAAAAAAUCUAUAUGGUGAGUGUAUGUUGCAUUAUCAAGGAUAUUCCUGAUAGAAGAGAACUUACAGUUUUGUUAGUCAUCGGUGAGUAGUGAUUCAUUCAUUUACAACUAUAUAACUUUGACAACGGGAAGAAUUUUUUACAGACUAGCUCCUGGCUCUAUGUUUCAAACUUUGUUUCUUCUCUGGUACUCUCAUUCAUCUGGUGCCAGUGCCUCAAGGCACAUUUAUUUCAUGAUGUGACCUCUGGCCCUGCAUCUUCAUAGAAGCAUACCUACACCAGGAUGUCUAGCAGUAACUUAUCUAUGCACAGAAGUGACAGCAAACCUUGUAAAUACAUCCUGCUAAACUCAAAUAAAUGUAUCCGAGCUCAACUUUCAAACGGCAGCCACUGCAAGGCCAUAAAACCCAAGGGCAAGAGUAAGGGAAGGGGAAUUUGGACUGGAGCGGUACAGUUGUCCUUAUCUGGCUGCCAUUAAAAUAACUUACUUUGUCAAGUUUCAACCCUGUGAGCACAUUGCUAAGGCUUCUCCCAGGGCCAGGGGAAAUGGGACUCACAAGUUCAAGCAAAAAACGCCCUGAAAUGUAAGCUUCAGCUUCAGAGGCAACCAGCCUCCACAUCCACUGCUAGUGAGAAUACUGAGAAACAGGUACUCUCAAACGGUGUUGGCAAAAACAUGAAGUGCUAUCAAAAUAAAAGCUCUAGACUUUGGGAGGCCAAGGUGGGCAGAUUGCUUGAGCCCAGGAGUUUAAGACCAGUGUAGGCAACA
This is a long non-coding RNA of Macaca mulatta (Rhesus monkey), 1086 nucleotides long. RefSeq lists it as uncharacterized. NCBI's taxonomy places the organism in Eukaryota, Metazoa, Chordata, Mammalia, Primates, Cercopithecidae. The record is from RefSeq and is a predicted model, not a curated record.